AUGACCGCUCCUACCCCAGGAGCCAGAAAACGUCCAAACCCGCCUGCCGUUCUCACCCGCGAGGACCCUUUCUUCCUCCCGGACCCAAGAAGGACUCUGCUCAAAAUCUCGCCAACCUCCGGGCCACCAUCGCCAUCACCAUCACUCCUUCCAAAAUCCCCAUCCAGACGAGCAUUUGGAUUGCUAUUCCUUUGUCCGCUUCGCCCAAAAGUUAAAGCGGCGGCGUGCCGUUGUCCGCUUCUCCGCCAGUUCCGUUCCACCUGUGCUCCACCAGCCCAUCCCUCUUCUAGACCGGCUUCAAGAAAAGACUGGUUCUGGCUCUGGCUCUGGCUCCUCCGCUUUCCCAACCGCCUGGCUGAACUUCUCGCGGGGGCUCCGGUGAGAAUCGCGGGGCUGCUUGUUUGGGCGGAGGCCAGAGGCGAUUCAGCUGCUGGGAGGCCUGCACUACGAAAUCCAGUUCGCGGUGGAUGGAGUGAUGCUGCGGGUGUGCUCGAUAAGGUUCUUGCUUGCCUGAUAAGCAAGGUUUCUUUUGGUGGUUCCUCCUCCUGCCGACCAAGACACACAAAAUCUAAGCCUGUUCACACCUUCUAUUGCUUCAAUUUCCGAGUGCUCUUGCUGCCUGAGAUGACAUCAGUUUUGAGGGAUUGCAUGCCUUGGACUCUGGAACAGAUUCAUCAUCUGUACUCUCUUCAGCUGUUCUAG
RNAcentral lists this ribosomal RNA (702 nucleotides) under Triticum aestivum (bread wheat). RNAcentral describes it as "partial small subunit ribosomal RNA". Lineage: Eukaryota; Viridiplantae; Streptophyta; Magnoliopsida; Poales; Poaceae. The record is from RNAcentral.